CCUACGGGAGUCAGCAGUGAGGAAUAUUGGUCAAUGGACGAGAGUCUGAACCAGCCAAGUAGCGUGAAGGAUGACUGCCCUAUGGGUUGUAAACUUCUUUUAUAUGGGAAUAAAAUGUUCCACGUGUGGGAUUUUGUAUGUAUCAUAUGAAUAAGGAUCGGCUAACUCCGUGCCAGCAGCCGCGGUAAUACGGAGGAUCCGAGCGUUAUCCGGAUUUAUUGGGUUUAAAGGGAGCGUAGGUGGAUUGUUAAGUCAGUUGUGAAAGUUUGGGGCUCAACCGUAAAAUUGCAGUUGAAACUGGCAGGCUUGAGUACAGUAGAGUUGGGCGGAAUUCGUGGUGUAGCGGUGAAAUGCUUAGAGAUCACAAAGAACUCCGAUUGCGAAGGCAGUUCACUGGACUGCAACUGACACUGAGGCACGAAAGUGUGGGUAUCAAACAGGAUUAGAUACCCUUGUAGUC
This 460-nucleotide ribosomal RNA is filed under the name uncultured bacterium. RNAcentral describes it as "partial 16S ribosomal RNA". It matches the Rfam family "Bacterial small subunit ribosomal RNA", at positions 338 to 795 of the family's 1533-position model. The record is from RNAcentral.